Molecule: ribosomal RNA, 445 nt
Filed under: uncultured bacterium
Lineage: Bacteria
Description: SSU rRNA
Rfam family: Bacterial small subunit ribosomal RNA
Source: RNAcentral
AGAGCGAACGCUGGCGGCAGGCUUAACACAUGCAAGUCGAGCGCGUGUAGCAAUACACGAGCGGCAGACGGGAGAGUAACACGUGGGAACGCGCCCUUCGGUUCGGAAUAACUCAGGGAAACUUGAGCUAAUACCGGAUACGCCCUUACGGGGAAAGAUUUAUUGCCGAAGGAACGGCCCGCGUCCGAUUAGCUAGUUGGUGAGGUAACGGCUCACCAAGGCGACGAUCGGUAGCUGGUCUGAGAGGAUGACCAGCCUCACUGGGACUGAGACACGGCCCAGACUCCUACGGGAGGCAGCAGUGGGGAAUAUUGGACAAUGGGCGCAAGCCUGAUCCAGCCAUGCCGCGUGGAUGAUGAAGGCCUUAGGGUUGUAAAGUCCUUUAACGGGGAAGAUAAUGACGGUACCGUAGAAUAAGCCCGGCUAACUUCGUGCCAGCAGCCGC